UACAGAGGGUGCGAGCGUUAAUCGGAUUUACUGGGCGUAAAGCGUGCGUAGGCGGCUUUUUAAGUCGGAUGUGAAAUCCCCGAGCUUAACUUGGGAAUUGCGUUCGAUACUGGGAAGCUAGAGUAUGGGAGAGGAUGGUAGAAUUCCAGGUGUAGCGGUGAAAUGCGUAGAGAUCUGGAGGAAUACCGAUGGCGAAGGCAGCCAUCUGGCCUAAUACUGACGCUGAGGUACGAAAGCAUGGGGAGCAAACAGGAUUAGAUACCCUGGUAGUCCAUGCCGUAAACGAUGUCUACUAGCCGUUGGGGCCUUUGAGGCUUUAGCGGCGCAGCUAACGCGAUAAGUAGACCGCCUGGGGAGUACGGUCGCAAGACUAAAACUCAAAUGAAUUGACGGGGGCCCGCACAAGCGGUGGAGCAUGUGGUUUAAUUCGAUGCAACGCGAAGAACCUUACCUGGCCUUGACAUACUAGAAACUUUCCAGAGAUGGAUUGGUGCCUUCGGGAAUCUAGAUACAGGUGCUGCAUGGCUGUCGUCAGCUCGUGUCGUGAGGUGUUGGGUUAAGUCCCGCAACGAGCGCAACCCUUUUCCUUACUUGCCAGCAUUUCGGAUGGGAACUUUAAGGAUACUGCCAGUGACAAACUGGAGGAAGGCGGGGACGACGUCAAGUCAUCAUGGCCCUUACGGCCAGGGCUACACACGUGCUACAAUGGUCGGUACAAAGGGUUGCUACACAGCGAUGUGAUGCUAAUCUCAAAAAGCCGAUCGUAGUCCGGAUUGGAGUCUGCAACUCGACUCCAUGAAGUCGGAAUCGCUAGUAAUCGCGGAUCAGAAUGUCGCGGUGAAUACGUUCCCGGGUCU
RNAcentral lists this ribosomal RNA (857 nucleotides) under uncultured bacterium. RNAcentral describes it as "SSU rRNA". It matches the Rfam family "Bacterial small subunit ribosomal RNA", at positions 524 to 1381 of the family's 1533-position model. The record is from RNAcentral.